Molecule: ribosomal RNA, 252 nt
Filed under: uncultured bacterium
Lineage: Bacteria
Description: partial 16S ribosomal RNA
Rfam family: Bacterial small subunit ribosomal RNA
Source: RNAcentral
UACGUAGGUCCCGAGCGUUGUCCGGAUUUAUUGGGCGUAAAGCGAGCGCAGGUGGUUUAUUAAGUCUGGUGUAAAAGGCAGUGGCUCAACCAUUGUAUGCAUUGGGAACUGGUAGACUUGAGUGCAGGAGAGGAGAGUGGAAUUCCAUGUGUAGCGGUGAAAUGCGUAGAUAUAUGAAGGAACACCGGUGGCGAAAGCGGCUCUCUGGCCUGUAACUGACACUGAGGCUCGAAAGCGUGGGGAGCAAACAGG